This 253-nucleotide ribosomal RNA is filed under the name uncultured bacterium. RNAcentral's name for it is "partial 16S ribosomal RNA". It matches the Rfam family "Bacterial small subunit ribosomal RNA", at positions 524 to 776 of the family's 1533-position model. The record is from RNAcentral.
UACGGGGGGGGCAAGCGUUGUUCGGAAUUACUGGGCGUAAAGGGCUCGUAGGCGGCCAACUAAGUCGGAUGUGAAAUCCCCAGGCUUAACCUGGGAACUGCAUCCGAUACUGGAUGGCUUGAAUCCGGGAGAGGGAUGCAGAAUUCCAGGUGUAGCGGUGAAAUGCGUAGAUAUCUGGAGGAACACCAGCGGCGAAGGCGGCGCUCUGGGCCGGUACUGACACUGAGGAGCGAAAGCGUGGGUAGCAAACAGG